Molecule: ribosomal RNA, 449 nt
Filed under: uncultured bacterium
Lineage: Bacteria
Description: partial 16S ribosomal RNA
Rfam family: Bacterial small subunit ribosomal RNA
Source: RNAcentral
AGCGAACGCUGGCGGCAAGCUUAACACAUGCAAGUCGAACGAUGUAGCAAUACAUAGUGGCGGACGGGUGCAUAACACGUGGGAAUCUGCCCUUCAGUACGGAAUAACUCAGGGAAACUUGAGCUAAUACCGUAUAAUAUCUCCGGAUCAAAGAUUUAUCGCUGAAGGAUGAGCCCGCGGCAGAUUAGCUAGUUGGUGGGGUAAUGGCCUACCAAGGCAACGAUCUGUAGCUGGUCUUAGAGGAUGAUCAGCCACACUGGGACUGAGACACGGCCCAGACUCCUACGGGAGGCAGCAGUGGGGAAUAUUGGACAAUGGGCGAAAGCCUGAUCCAGCUAUGCCGCGUGAGUGAUGAAGGCCUUAGGGUUGUAAAGCUCUUUUAGAUGGGAAGAUAAUGACGGUACCAUCAGAAAAAGCCCCGGCUAACUUCGUGCCAGCCGCCGCCGUAA